CAAUGAAAUACCUGGCUAAUUUAGCAUAACUCUCCUCAGCCGAACCCAUCAAAUCCUCCAAUGCACAUUCUUUAGCCUUCCAAGCCUUCUGAUAGCUCAUGACCACCCCGUACUCUCGUCGAAUAUCAUUAAUGAUGUCCGAAGGUCUGUAGAUCGUUCGUGGAUCCUGAAACUUGUGCAUUAUUUCUCGACCAAUGAACCAUGAUCGGGCCUGCCUGUGAUCAUUUCGACGAAUACCCACUUCGCAAAUAUGUUCCCGUGCAUACUUACGGACUACAAAAAAUUCAUUCGUAUCCAUCUUAGUCGCUCGCAAACGCCAAUGGCAAUUGUCGUCAACACAGAUAAUUGUGUAUAACGACUUGUUUGAUUUCUUCACUUUAAACUCGAAGUUAUGUUUUAAAGCAAUCCGGUGCACAGCUUCUUGCAAUUCUUUCUUUGAUUCGAAUAGUUGCUCGACAUAUACAUCUUCAUCAUCGGGAACUACACGCGAACAAUUAGAGGACCGUGUACUCGGUCCGGCCUGUGAGCUCCCACCCAACUCAUGUCUCUUACGAGAUAAAGCAAUCAAAUUCUCGUUUGUAAAUGCAUUUUCAUUCUCGUUGUCUUCAACUAUUGUUGGAAUUCUGUGCGUAACAGUGUGACCAUGGUGAGUAGCAGUGGUCUCGGGAAUAACCACAUCAUCUUCACGAACAAUCUGAAUUGUAUCCCAAACAUCAUUUAC
Molecule: long non-coding RNA, 721 nt
Filed under: Olea europaea subsp. europaea
Lineage: Eukaryota; Viridiplantae; Streptophyta; Magnoliopsida; Lamiales; Oleaceae
Source: RNAcentral